AGAGUUUGAUCAUGGCUCAGAUUGAACGCUGGCGGCAGGCCUAACACAUGCAAGUCGAGCGGUAGCACAGAAGAGCUUGCUCUUUGGGUGACGAGCGGCGGACGGGUGAGUAAUGUCUGGGAAACUGCCUGAUGGAGGGGGAUAACUACUGGAAACGGUAGCUAAUACCGCAUAACGUCGCAAGACCAAAGUGGGGGACCUUCGGGCCUCAUGCCAUCAGAUGUGCCCAGAUGGGAUUAGCUAGUAGGUGAGGUAAUGGCUCACCUAGGCGACGAUCCCUAGCUGGUCUGAGAGGAUGACCAGCCACACUGGAACUGAGACACGGUCCAGACUCCUACGGGAGGCAGCAGUGGGGAAUAUUGCACAAUGGGCGCAAGCCUGAUGCAGCCAUGCCGCGUGUAUGAAGAAGGCCUUCGGGUUGUAAAGUACUUUCAGCGAGGAGGAAGGCGUUAAGGUUAAUAACCUUAGCGAUUGACGUUACUCGCAGAAGAAGCACCGGCUAACUCCGUGCCAGCAGCCGCGGUAAUACGGAGGGUGCAAGCGUUAAUCGGAAUUACUGGGCGUAAAGCGCACGCAGGCGGUCUGUCAAGUCGGAUGUGAAAUCCCCGGGCUCAACCUGGGAACUGCAUCCGAAACUGGCAGGCUAGAGUCUUGUAGAGGGGGGUAGAAUUCCAGGUGUAGCGGUGAAAUGCGUAGAGAUCUGGAGGAAUACCGGUGGCGAAGGCGGCCCCCUGGACAAAGACUGACGCUCAGGUGCGAAAGCGUGGGGAGCAAACAGGAUUAGAUACCCUGGUAGUCCACGCUGUAAACGAUGUCGACUUGGAGGUUGUUCCCUUGAGGAGUGGCUUCCGGAGCUAACGCGUUAAGUCGACCGCCUGGGGAGUACGGCCGCAAGGUUAAAACUCAAAUGAAUUGACGGGGGCCCGCACAAGCGGUGGAGCAUGUGGUUUAAUUCGAUGCAACGCGAAGAACCUUACCUACUCUUGACAUCCAGAGAACUUAGCAGAGAUGCUUUGGUGCCUUCGGGAACUCUGAGACAGGUGCUGCAUGGCUGUCGUCAGCUCGUGUUGUGAAAUGUUGGGUUAAGUCCCGCAACGAGCGCAACCCUUAUCCUUUGUUGCCAGCGGUUCGGCCGGGAACUCAAAGGAGACUGCCAGUGAUAAACUGGAGGAAGGUGGGGGAUGACGUCAAGUCAUCAUGGCCCUUACGAGUAGGGCUACACACGUGCUACAAUGGCAUAUACAAAGAGAAGCGACCUCGCGAGAGCAAGCGGACCUCAUAAAGUAUGUCGUAGUCCGGAUCGGAGUCUGCAACUCGACUCCGUGAAGUCGGAAUCGCUAGUAAUCGUGGAUCAGAAUGCCACGGUGAAUACGUUCCCGGGCCUUGUACACACCGCCCGUCACACCAUGGGAGUGGGUUGCAAAAGAAGUAGGUAGCUUAACCUUCGGGAGGGCGCUUACCACUUUGUGAUUCAUGACUGGGGUGAAGUCGUAACAAGGUAACCGUAGGGGAACCUGCGGUUGGAUCACCU
RNAcentral lists this ribosomal RNA (1531 nucleotides) under Klebsiella terrigena. RNAcentral describes it as "bacterial SSU rRNA". It matches the Rfam family "Bacterial small subunit ribosomal RNA". Lineage: Bacteria; Pseudomonadati; Pseudomonadota; Gammaproteobacteria; Enterobacterales; Enterobacteriaceae. The record is from RNAcentral.